RNAcentral lists this ribosomal RNA (163 nucleotides) under uncultured bacterium. RNAcentral's name for it is "partial 16S ribosomal RNA". It matches the Rfam family "Bacterial small subunit ribosomal RNA", at positions 355 to 510 of the family's 1533-position model. The record is from RNAcentral.
UAGGGAAUCUUCCACAAUGGACGAAAGUCUGAUGGAGCAACGCCGCGUGAGUGAAGAAGGGUUUCGGCUCGUAAAACUCUGUUGUUAAAGAAGAACAUAUCUGAGAGUAACUGUUCAGGUAUUGACGGUAUUUAACCAGAAAGCCACGGCUAACUACGUGCUA